GCCUGGGUGGUUCAGUCAGUUGAGCGCCCGACUUCAGCUCAGGUCAUGAUCUCACAGCUCGUGGGUUCGAGCCCCGCGUCAGGCU
Molecule: transfer RNA, 85 nt
Filed under: Felis catus (domestic cat)
Lineage: Eukaryota; Metazoa; Chordata; Mammalia; Carnivora; Felidae
Rfam family: tRNA
About the family: Transfer RNA (tRNA) molecules are approximately 80 nucleotides in length. Their secondary structure includes four short double-helical elements and three loops (D, anti-codon, and T loops).
Source: Rfam by way of RNAcentral